GUGAGCGCACCCCCCGCGUAAUGAUCACCGGCCACCUCUCUUGGAGAGCGACGUUGGCGAUUGAACAAUAGCCGAACGUCUUACAGAACACCCCCGGGGAGAGAACGCGCUUUACGGUUGUACUCUUUUUUCAUAGAAGGAUGCGAUGUACUGUACGGGAGAAAAGCACCGGCGAUUUCGUCCCAGCAGCGAUUUAUUAGUAGGGUCCAAGCGUUUCCGAGUUAUGCGGUAGAGAGCUCGUAGCAGUUUGUCCGCGUCCUGCUGUGAAUCCCGAGAUUCAACCUCGUGCUUGCAGUCGGUACGGGCCAGACUAGAGUGCGUUAGGGGAGAUUGGAUUCAUGGUGUAGCGGUGGAAUGCGCAGAUUUCCAGGAGGAACACCGAUGGCCGAAGGCCAGAUCUUUGGGCCGUAUCUGACCGCUGAGGAGCGAAAGGCAUGGGGAAGCGAACCAGGAUUAGAUACUCUUGGUAGGUCCAUGCGGUAACCGUUGCGACGUUAGAUGUAGGGACCAUUCCCACGGUUUCCUGUGUCGUAGCUACCGCAUUAAGCGCCCCGCCUGGGGAAGUACGGCCGCAAGGCUAAAACUCAAAGGAAUUGACGGGGGCCCGCACAAGCGGCGGAGCAUGCGGAUUAAUUCGAUGCAACGCGAAGAACCUUACCAAGGCUUGACAUACACCGGAAACGGCCAGAGAUGGUCGCCCCCUUGUGGUCGGUGUACAGGUGGUGCAUGGUUGUCGUCAGCUCGUGUCGUGAGAUGUUGGGUUAAGUCCCGCAACGAGCGCAACCCUCGUUCUAUGUUGCCAGCGGGUUAUGCCGGGGACUCAUAGGAGACUGCCGGGGUCAACUCGGAGGAAGGUGGGGAUGACGUCAAAUCAUCAUGCCCCUUAUGUCUUGGGCUUCACGCAUGCUACAAUGGCCGGUACAAAGGGCUGCGAUACCGUAAGGUGGAGCGAAUCCCAAAAAGCCGGUCUCAGUUCGGAUUGAGGUCUGCAACUCGACCUCAUGAAGUCGGAGUCGCUAGUAAUCGCAGAUCAGCAACGCUGCGGUGAAUACGUUCCCGGGCCUUGUACACACCGCCCGUCAAGUCAUGAAAGUCGGUAACACCCGAAGCCGGUGGCCUAACCCUUGGGAAGGAGCCGUCGAAGGUGGUCUGAUGAUCC
Molecule: ribosomal RNA, 1159 nt
Filed under: uncultured bacterium
Lineage: Bacteria
Description: bacterial SSU rRNA
Rfam family: Bacterial small subunit ribosomal RNA
Source: RNAcentral